RNAcentral lists this ribosomal RNA (253 nucleotides) under uncultured bacterium. RNAcentral's name for it is "partial 16S ribosomal RNA". It matches the Rfam family "Bacterial small subunit ribosomal RNA", at positions 524 to 776 of the family's 1533-position model. The record is from RNAcentral.
UACGGAGGGUGCAAGCGUUAAUCGGAAUUACUGGGCGUAAAGCGUGCGUAGUCGGUUAUUUAAGUCGGGUGUGAAAUCCCCGGGCUCAACCUGGGAAUUGCAUUCGAUACUGGAUAGCUAGAGUUCGGCAGAGGGAAGCGGAAUUUCGGGUGUAGCGGUGAAAUGCGUAGAUAUCCGAAGGAACAUCAGUGGCGAAAGCGGCUUCCUGGACCAGAACUGACGAUCAGGCACGAAAGCGUGGGGAGCAAACAGG